UACGGAGGGGGCUAGCGUUGUUCGGAAUUACUGGGCGUAAAGCGCACGUAGGCGGCUUUUCAAGUCAGAGGUGAAAGCCCGGGGCUUAACUCCGGAAUUGCCUUUGAAACUGGAUGGCUGGAACACGGGAGAGGUGAGUGGAAUUCCGAGUGUAGAGGUGAAAUUCGUAGAUAUUCGGAAGAACACCAGUGGCGAAGGCGGCUCACUGGACCGUUGUUGACGCUGAGGUGCGAAAGCGUGGGGAGCAAACAGG
This 253-nucleotide ribosomal RNA is filed under the name uncultured bacterium. RNAcentral describes it as "partial 16S ribosomal RNA". It matches the Rfam family "Bacterial small subunit ribosomal RNA", at positions 524 to 776 of the family's 1533-position model. The record is from RNAcentral.